UACGUAGGGUGCAAGCGUUGUCCGGAAUUAUUGGGCGUAAAGAGCUCGUAGGCGGUCUGUCACGUCGGCUGUGAAAACCCGAGGCUCAACCUCGGGCCUGCAGUCGAUACGGGCAAACUAGAGUACUGCAGGGGAGACUGGAAUUCCUGGUGUAGCGGUGAAAUGCGCAGAUAUCAGGAGGAACACCGGUGGCGAAGGCGGGUCUCUGGGCAGUAACUGACGCUGAGGAGCGAAAGCAUGGGGAGCGAACAGG
This 253-nucleotide ribosomal RNA is filed under the name uncultured bacterium. Its description in RNAcentral is "partial 16S ribosomal RNA". It matches the Rfam family "Bacterial small subunit ribosomal RNA", at positions 524 to 776 of the family's 1533-position model. The record is from RNAcentral.